GACCUUACCAGGCCGGGGAGACACCAUAAUCACAAAGUUGGUUUUUCCAGGGCAAGGCUGAUCCAUUGCCCUCUGGAUGUGCUCAUCCCUCUGAUUUCCCCAAAUGCAGGAAAACUGACUGCAUAAUCUGUGGUAGUGGAUAGUGACUGCAUUCACCAUCU
Small nuclear RNA from Peromyscus californicus insignis, 161 nucleotides. RefSeq annotates it as U1 spliceosomal RNA. NCBI's taxonomy places the organism in Eukaryota, Metazoa, Chordata, Mammalia, Rodentia, Cricetidae. The transcript has a single exon. The record is from RefSeq and is a predicted model, not a curated record.